Molecule: ribosomal RNA, 277 nt
Filed under: uncultured Parvimonas sp.
Lineage: Bacteria; Bacillati; Bacillota; Tissierellia; Tissierellales; Peptoniphilaceae
Description: partial 16S ribosomal RNA
Rfam family: Bacterial small subunit ribosomal RNA
Source: RNAcentral
UAGAGAUUUAACGAAAGUGGCGAACGGGUGAGUAACACGUGAGCAACCUGCCUUACACAGGGGGAUAGCCAUUGGAAACGGUGAUUAAUACCCCAUAAGACCACAAUACCGCAUGGUAAAAGGGUAAAAGGGAUACCGGUGUAAGAUGGGCUCGCGUCUGAUUAGCUAGUUGGUGGGGUAAAGGCCUACCAAGGCGACGAUCAGUAGCCGGUCUGAGAGGAUGAACGGCCACAUUGGAACUGAGACACGGUCCAAACUCCUACGGGAGGCAGCAGUA